CGCUCGUAGUAGAAGUUCGGCUCUUACAGGAGCCCAGUUGGAAUCCUGAAGGUGGUCGAAUGCCAUAGAAACUCGGAUGGAGUCUGAUUACCGUAGAAACCUCAUUGUCGAAGAAGCUUGGAUAUUGAUGAAGUCCAGAAGGAGUUUGGAGAAUAGUUGAUCACCAUAGAAGGUCGGCCGACAGUGAGGCCUAGAGAGCCUUCCGAGCGGCUCGGUAGAUGGAUGGAGAAGCUCAUUGUCGGGGAAGUCCGGAAGAAGUUUGAAGUAGGGUCAUCCACGGUCGGAAGAAGUCCGAAAGGGAUUCGGAGAAUAGUUGAUUACUAUAGAAGGUCGGUUGGCGGUGAGGCCCAGAGAGCUUUUGGGGUGGUCCGGUAAAUGAAUACAGAAGUUCAUUAUCGGAGAAGCUCGGACGGUCAAGGGGGUUCGGAGAGAUUCCACACACAAGGUCGG
Molecule: long non-coding RNA, 450 nt
Filed under: Elaeis guineensis (African oil palm)
Lineage: Eukaryota; Viridiplantae; Streptophyta; Magnoliopsida; Arecales; Arecaceae
Description: long non-coding RNA (EGUI_LNC074982)
Source: RNAcentral